This 274-nucleotide long non-coding RNA is filed under the name Rosa chinensis. Its description in RNAcentral is "sRNA RchiOBHm_Chr5g0035411". The record is from RNAcentral. Lineage: Eukaryota; Viridiplantae; Streptophyta; Magnoliopsida; Rosales; Rosaceae.
GCAUUUCUUGCAGAGCUGGGCGAAAGACCCAUCCUUGAGCUCCCAGCCAUUAACGAACUGAUCACUCUCGGCCUUGCAGGAAAAGCACGAAGCUUUGGCAGCCAUUGAAGCCAAGAAGCAAAGACAGUGACGGAGGCAGAGAGUAUAAAUGCGUGUGGGUCAAAGCCAUUUCGACCUUUCCUAAUUUGCGAUGGCUCACAAAUUGGGAAUUAGGGUUUUGGGGGAUUGAAAAAGUAGGAGAAUUUUGAUGGUUUCCAAAGCUCAGGAAGAACCA